GGGCCCGUAGCCCAGCCUGGAUUAGGGCGUCGGUCUUCGGAACCGGAAGUCGUGGGUUCGAAUCCCUCCGGGCCCG
RNAcentral lists this transfer RNA (76 nucleotides) under Nitrososphaerota archaeon. RNAcentral's name for it is "Thaumarchaeota archaeon tRNA-Arg". It matches the Rfam family "tRNA". Rfam says of the family: Transfer RNA (tRNA) molecules are approximately 80 nucleotides in length. Their secondary structure includes four short double-helical elements and three loops (D, anti-codon, and T loops). Further hydrogen bonds mediate the characteristic L-shaped molecular structure. tRNAs have two regions of fundamental functional importance: the anti-codon, which is responsible for specific mRNA codon recognition, and the 3' end, to which the tRNAs corresponding amino acid is attached (by aminoacyl-tRNA synthetases). tRNAs cope with the degeneracy of the genetic code in two manners: having more than one tRNA (with a specific anti-codon) for a particular amino acid; and 'wobble' base-pairing, i.e. permitting non-standard base-pairing at the 3rd anti-codon position. The record is from RNAcentral. Lineage: Archaea; Thermoproteati; Nitrososphaerota.